This 505-nucleotide ribosomal RNA is filed under the name uncultured bacterium. RNAcentral describes it as "partial 16S ribosomal RNA". It matches the Rfam family "Bacterial small subunit ribosomal RNA", at positions 29 to 523 of the family's 1533-position model. The record is from RNAcentral.
AGUGAACGCUGGCGGUAGGCCUAACACAUGCAAGUCGAACGGCAGCACAGGAGAGCUUGCUCUCUGGGUGGCGAGUGGCGGACGGGUGAGGAAUACAUCGGAAUCUACUCUGUCGUGGGGGAUAACGUAGGGAAACUUACGCUAUACCGCAUACGACCUACGGGUGAAAGCAGGGGACCUUCGGGCCUUGCGCGAUUGAAUGAGCCGAUGUCGGAUUAGCUAGCUGGCGGGGUAAAGGCCCACCAAGGCGACGAUCCGUAGCUGGUCUGAGAGGAUGAUCAGCCACACUGGAACUGAGACACGGUCCAGACUCCUACGGGAGGCAGCAGUGGGGAAUAUUGGACAAUGGGCGCAAGCCUGAUCCAGCCAUACCGCGUGGGUGAAGAAGGCCUUCGGGUUGUAAAGCCCUUUUGUUGGGAAAGAAAUCCAGCUGGCUAAUACCCGGUUGGGAUGACGGUACCCAAAGAAUAAGCACCGGCUAACUUCGUGCCAGCAGCCGCAGUAA